RNAcentral lists this ribosomal RNA (463 nucleotides) under uncultured bacterium. RNAcentral's name for it is "partial 16S ribosomal RNA". It matches the Rfam family "Bacterial small subunit ribosomal RNA", at positions 339 to 795 of the family's 1533-position model. The record is from RNAcentral.
CUACGGGUGGCUCCAGUGAGGAAUUUUGCGCAAUGGGCGAAAGCCUGACGCAGCAACGCCGCGUGAGUGAUGAAGGCCUUCGGGUCGUAAAGCUCUGUCAAGUGGGAAGAACCUAUGUAAUGUUAAUAUCAUUAUAUACUGACGGUACCACUGAAGGAAGCACCGGCUACUCCGUGCCAGCAGCCGGGUAAUACGGGGGGUGCAAGCGUUAUUCGGAAUCAUUGGGCGUAAAGGGCACGUAGGCGGCCUGGUAAGUCAGAUGUGAAAGCCCGGGGCUUAACCCCGGAAGUGCAUUUGAUACUGGCAGGCUUGAGUAUGGGAGAGGGAAGUGGAAUUCCUGGUGUAGAGGUGAAAUUCGUAGAUAUCAGGAGGAACACCGGUGGCGAAGGCGACUUCCUGGACCAAUACUGACGCUGAGGUGCGAAGGCGUGGGUAGCAAACAGGAUUAGAUACCCCAGUAGUC